Molecule: ribosomal RNA, 580 nt
Filed under: uncultured bacterium
Lineage: Bacteria
Description: partial 16S ribosomal RNA
Rfam family: Bacterial small subunit ribosomal RNA
Source: RNAcentral
UAAGGAAUAUUGGUCAAUGGACGCAAGUCUGAACCAGCCAUGCCGCGUGGAGGAUGAAGGCCCUCUGGGUUGUAAACUUCUUUUAUAUGGGACGAAACCCUCUCAUUCUUGAGAGACUGACGGUACCAUAGGAAUAAGCACCGGCUAACUCCGUGCCAGCAGCCGCGGUAAUACGGAGGGUGCAAGCGUUAUCCGGAUUCACUGGGUUUAAAGGGUGCGUAGGAGGGCAGGUAAGUCAGUGGUGAAAUCCCCCGAGCUUAACUUGGGAACUGCCGUUGAUACUAUCUGUCUUGAAUAUUGUGGAGGUGAGCGGAAUAUGUCAUGUAGCGGUGAAAUGCUUAGACAUGACAUAGAACACCAAUUGCGAAGGCAGCUCGCUACACAAAUAUUGACUCUGAGGCACGAAAGCGUGGGGAUCAAACAGGAUUAGAUACCCUGGUAGUCCACGCCCUAAACGAUGGAUACUCGACAUACGCGAUACACAGUGUGUGUCUGAGCGAAAGCAUUAAGUAUCCCACCUGGGAAGUACGACCGCAAGGUUGAAACUUAAAGGAAUUGACGGGGUCAUAGCUGUUUCCUG